This 100-nucleotide ribosomal RNA is filed under the name Neotrygon kuhlii (spotted stingray). RNAcentral's name for it is "partial 16S ribosomal RNA". The record is from RNAcentral. Lineage: Eukaryota; Metazoa; Chordata; Chondrichthyes; Myliobatiformes; Dasyatidae.
UAUAAAGCAAGCCAAAACAAUUUAAUACCCCCUCAAUAUUACUUAAUAUAUAAAUAAUAACAUUCCCCUUAAAAUAUUUCAUCCCACCCAGGAUGGACGA